This 675-nucleotide long non-coding RNA is filed under the name Mus pahari (shrew mouse). Its description in RNAcentral is "lncRNA (MGP_PahariEiJ_G0002566.1)". The record is from RNAcentral. Lineage: Eukaryota; Metazoa; Chordata; Mammalia; Rodentia; Muridae.
AGAGUCUGCUAGAGGUGAGGAGUGUGCAGGUCAGCAUUUCCUUCCACUCAGAUACAUGAGCCCUCUCCUUUUCAUUUCUAGGGUUCUCUUGGCCCCAGCCCCACAGUUCCUGGUUGGUGCCCCUCCCACAGUGCCGUUAUUUAAAAUAGUGCUUCUUACCCUUGGAGGUAAUGUUAAUUGGAACGAGAUGCAGGACCGAGUGCUUCUCUAAGGAAAGAAGGGAGGACACGGCAGUGUUGACCUGCCCCGGAGUCCACCCUCCACCCUCACCUCAGCUCUGCUCCGCAUUCCUCCUGCUCCUGGGUCACCGCCAACCCCACCAAAACCCCAGGGCCCGCUCACUCUUGUGCUUCUGGCUUAGGCUGGCCGCAGACGCUGGAUGCCGGUGAAGAUGAACUUGGAUUCCUCACGCUGGGGUUAUGGCAUGUCCAACCUGCAGACAUCAGAGGACCUCAUCAGACUCUUGGGAAAGCCUGGCCUUGCAUGGCUCCUGAGCCUGCCUCCUCCACACAAUUAUGCUUUGAGGCCUACUAAGGCCUAAAUGCAGUAUACUACCAGGGGCAAUGAGUCCCCGACUCCACUGUAAAAUUGUCUUCCUGUGUGGUGCCAUGUAUCUUGGGCUCUCUUACCGUCAUCUUGUCAUCUAGUACUGUAAUUAUGCAUUUACAGACUGUC